GUGGGGAAUCUUGCGCAAUGGGCGAAAGCCUGACGCAGCCAUGCCGCGUGAAUGAUGAAGGUCUUAGGAUUGUAAAAUUCUUUCACCGGGGACGAUAAUGACGGUACCCGGAGAAGAAGCUCCGGCUAACUUCGUGCCAGCAGCCGCGGUAAUACGAAGGGGGCUAGCGUUGCUCGGAAUUACUGGGCGUAAAGGGCGCGUAGGCGGACAGCUUAGUCAGAGGUGAAAGCCCAGGGCUCAACCUUGGAAUUGCCUUUGAUACUGGCUGUCUUGAGUUUGGGAGAGGUGAGUGGAACUCCGAGUGUAGAGGUGAAAUUCGUAGAUAUUCGGAAGAACACCAGUGGCGAAGGCGACUCACUGGCCCAAUACUGACGCUGAGGCGCGAAAGCGUGGGGAGCAAACAGGAUUAGAAACCCUAGUAGUUC
This 425-nucleotide ribosomal RNA is filed under the name uncultured bacterium. RNAcentral describes it as "partial 16S ribosomal RNA". It matches the Rfam family "Bacterial small subunit ribosomal RNA", at positions 354 to 796 of the family's 1533-position model. The record is from RNAcentral.